GGUUAAGCGACUAAGCGUACACGGUGGAUGCCCUGGCAGUCAGAGGCGAUGAAGGACGUGCUAAUCUGCGAAAAGCGUCGGUAAGGUGAUAUGAACCGUUAUAACCGGCGAUGUCCGAAUGGGGAAACCCAGUGCAAUUCGUUGCACUAUCGUUAACUGAAUACAUAGGUUAACGAGGCGAACCGGGGGAACUGAAACAUCUAAGUACCCCGAGGAAAAGAAAUCAACCGAGAUUCCCCCAGUAGCGGCGAGCGAACGGGGAGCAGCCCAGAGUCUGAAUCAGCUUGUGUGUUAGUGGAACGGUCUGGAAAGUCCGACGGUACAGGGUGAUAGUCCCGUACACCAAAAUGCACAGGCUGUGAACUCGAAGAGUAGGGCGGGACACGUGGUAUCCUGUCUGAAUAUGGGGGGACCAUCCUCCAAGGCUAAAUACUCCUGACUGACCGAUAGUGAACCAGUACCGUGAGGGAAAGGCGAAAAGAACCCCGGCGAGGGGAGUGAAAAAGAACCUGAAACCGUGUACGUACAAGCAGUGGGAGCACCUUCGGGUGUGACUGCGUACCUUUUGUAUAAUGGGUCAGCGACUUAUAUUCUGUAGCAAGGUUAACCGUAUAGGGGAGCCGCAGGGAAACCGAGUCUUAACUGGGCGUUAAGUUGCAGGGUAUAGACCCGAAACCCGGUGAUCUAGCCAUGGGCAGGUUGAAGGUUGGGUAACACUAACUGGAGGACCGAACCGACUAAUGUUGAAAAAUUAGCGGAUGACUUGUGGCUGGGGGUGAAAGGCCAAUCAAACCGGGAGAUAGCUGGUUCUCCCCGAAAGCUAUUUAGGUAGCGCCUCGUGAAUUCAUCUUCGGGGGUAGAGCACUGUUUCGGCUAGGGGGUCAUCCCGACUUACCAACCCGAUGCAAACUACGAAUACCGAAGAAUGUUAUCACGGGAGACACACGGCGGGUGCUAACGUCCGUCGUGAAGAGGGAAACAACCCAGACCGCCAGCUAAGGUCCCAAAGUCAUGGUUAAGUGGGAAACGAUGUGGGAAGGCACAGACAGCCAGGAUGUUGGCUUAGAAGCAGCCAUCAUUUAAAGAAAGCGUAAUAGCUCACUGGUCGAGUCGGCCUGCGCGGAAGAUGUAACGGGGCUAAACCAUGCACCGAAGCUGCGGCAGCGACACUAUGUGUUGUUGGGUAGGGGAGCGUUCUGUAAGCCUGCGAAGGUGACCUGUGAGGGUUGCUGGAGGUAUCAGAAGUGCGAAUGCUGACAUAAGUAACGAUAAAGCGGGUGAAAAGCCCGCUCGCCGGAAGACCAAGGGUUCCUGUCCAACGUUAAUCGGGGCAGGGUGAGUCGACCCCUAAGGCGAGGCCGAAAGGCGUAGUCGAUGGGAAACAGGUUAAUAUUCCUGUACUUGGUGUUACUGCGAAGGGGGGACGGAGAAGGCUAUGUUAGCCGGGCGACGGUUGUCCCGGUUUAAGCAUGUAGGCUGGUUGUCCAGGCAAAUCCGGAUAAUCAAGGCUGAGGUGUGAUGACGAGGCACUACGGUGCUGAAGUAACAAAUGCCCUGCUUCCAGGAAAAGCCUCUAAGCAUCAGGUAACAUCAAAUCGUACCCCAAACCGACACAGGUGGUCAGGUAGAGAAUACCAAGGCGCUUGAGAGAACUCGGGUGAAGGAACUAGGCAAAAUGGUGCCGUAACUUCGGGAGAAGGCACGCUGGUGUGUAGGUGAAGUCCCUGCGGAUGGAGCUGAGACCAGUCGAAGAUACCAGCUGGCUGCAACUGUUUAUUAAAAACACAGCACUGUGCAAACACGAAAGUGGACGUAUACGGUGUGACGCCUGCCCGGUGCCGGAAGGUUAAUUGAUGGGGUUAUCCGUAAGGAGAAGCUCUUGAUCGAAGCCCCGGUAAACGGCGGCCGUAACUAUAACGGUCCUAAGGUAGCGAAAUUCCUUGUCGGGUAAGUUCCGACCUGCACGAAUGGCGUAAUGAUGGCCAGGCUGUCUCCACCCGAGACUCAGUGAAAUUGAACUCGCUGUGAAGAUGCAGUGUACCCGCGGCAAGACGGAAAGACCCCGUGAACCUUUACUAUAGCUUGACACUGAACAUUGAGCCUUGAUGUGUAGGAUAGGUGGGAGGCUUUGAAGCGUGGACGCCAGUCUGCGUGGAGCCAACCUUGAAAUACCACCCUUUAAUGUUUGAUGUUCUAACGUUGGCCCCUGACCGGGGUUGCGGACAGUGUCUGGUGGGUAGUUUGACUGGGGCGGUCUCCUCCCAAAGCGUAACGGAGGAGCACGAAGGUUAGCUAAUCCUGGUCGGACAUCAGGAGGUUAGUGCAAUGGCAUAAGCUAGCUUGACUGCGAGCGUGACGGCGCGAGCAGGUGCGAAAGCAGGUCAUAGUGAUCCGGUGGUUCUGAAUGGAAGGGCCAUCGCUCAACGGAUAAAAGGUACUCCGGGGAUAACAGGCUGAUACCGCCCAAGAGUUCAUAUCGACGGCGGUGUUUGGCACCUCGAUGUCGGCUCAUCACAUCCUGGGGCUGAAGUAGGUCCCAAGGGUAUGGCUGUUCGCCAUUUAAAGUGGUACGCGAGCUGGGUUUAGAACGUCGUGAGACAGUUCGGUCCCUAUCUGCCGUGGGCGCUGGAGAAUUGAGGGGGGCUGCUCCUAGUACGAGAGGACCGGAGUGGACGCAUCACUGGUGUUCGGGUUGUCAUGCCAAUGGCACUGCCCGGUAGCUAAAUGCGGAAGAGAUAAGUGCUGAAAGCAUCUAAGCACGAAACUUGCCCCGAGAUGAGUUCUCCCUGAGACUUUAAGUCUCCUGAAGGAACGUUGAAGACGACGACGUUGAUAGGCCGGGUGUGUAAGCGCAGCGAUGCGUUGAGCUAACCGGUACUAAUGAACCGUGAGGCUUAACCUU
RNAcentral lists this ribosomal RNA (2902 nucleotides) under Klebsiella pneumoniae. Its description in RNAcentral is "23S ribosomal RNA". It matches the Rfam family "Bacterial large subunit ribosomal RNA". The record is from RNAcentral. Lineage: Bacteria; Pseudomonadati; Pseudomonadota; Gammaproteobacteria; Enterobacterales; Enterobacteriaceae.